GCGCCAGACUCCUACGGGAGGCAGCAGUGGGGAAUAUUGCACAAUGGGGGAAACCCUGAUGCAGCGACGCCGCGUGAGUGAAGAAGUAUUUCGGUAUGUAAAGCUCUAUCAGCAGGGAAGAAAAUGACGGUACCUGACUAAGAAGCCCCGGCUAACUACGUGCCAGCAGCCGCGGUAAUACGUAGGGAGCGAGCGUUGUCCGGAAUUACUGGGUGUAAAGGGAGCGUAGGCGGGCUUGUAAGUUGAAUGUCUAAUCCACCGGCUCAACCGGUGAUCGCGUUCAAAACUGCAGGCCUUGAGUGAAGUAGAGGCAGGCGGAAUUCCUAGUGUAGCGGUGAAAUGCGUAGAUAUUAGGAGGAACACCAGUGGCGAAGGCGGCCUGCUGGACGACAACUGACGGUGAGGCGCGAAAGCGUGGGGAGCAAACAGGAUUAGAUACCCUAGUA
Molecule: ribosomal RNA, 446 nt
Filed under: uncultured bacterium
Lineage: Bacteria
Description: bacterial SSU rRNA
Rfam family: Bacterial small subunit ribosomal RNA
Source: RNAcentral